This 484-nucleotide ribosomal RNA is filed under the name uncultured bacterium. Its description in RNAcentral is "partial 16S ribosomal RNA". It matches the Rfam family "Bacterial small subunit ribosomal RNA", at positions 30 to 507 of the family's 1533-position model. The record is from RNAcentral.
AUUGAACGCUGGCGGCAGGCCUAACACAUGCAAGUCGAGCGGAUGAAGGGAGCUUGCUCCUGGAUUCAGCGGCGGACGGGUGAGUAAUGCCUAGGAAUCUGCCUGGUAGUGGGGGAUAACGUCCGGAAACGGGCGCUAAUACCGCAUACGUCCUGAGGGGGAAAGUGGGGGAUCUUCGGACCUCACGCUAUCAGAUGAGCCUAGGUCGGAUUAGCUAGUUGGUGGGGUAAAGGCCUACCAAGGCGACGAUCCGUAACUGGUCUGAGAGGAUGAUCAGUCACACUGGAACUGAGACACGGUCCAUACUCCUACGGGAGGCAGCAGUGGGGAAUAUUGGACAAUGGGCGAAAGCCUGGUCCAGCCAUGCCGCGUGUGUGAAGAAGGUCUUCGGAUUGUAAAGCACUUUAAGUUGGGAGGAAGGGCAGUAAGUUAAUACCUUGCUGUUUUGACGUUACCAACAGAAUAAGCACCGGCUAACUUCGUG